UGGCUCAGUGGUAGAGUGCUUGCCUAGCAUGCAUGAAGCCCUGGGUUCGAUUCCUGG
Molecule: transfer RNA, 57 nt
Filed under: Dipodomys ordii (Ord's kangaroo rat)
Lineage: Eukaryota; Metazoa; Chordata; Mammalia; Rodentia; Heteromyidae
Rfam family: tRNA
About the family: Transfer RNA (tRNA) molecules are approximately 80 nucleotides in length. Their secondary structure includes four short double-helical elements and three loops (D, anti-codon, and T loops).
Source: Rfam by way of RNAcentral